GGUGUUUGCACUUGGACUUGUCUCUGGUGUAGUGGUGUUUGUACUUGGACUUGUCUCUGGUGUGGUGGUGUUUGUACUUGGACUUGUCUCAGGUGUAGUGGUGUUUGUAUUUGGACUUGUCUCUGGUGUAGUGGUGUUUGUAUUUGGACUUGUCUCAGGUGUAGUGGUACUUGGACUUGUCUCUGGUGUAGUGGUGUUUGUGCUUGGACUUGUCUCUGGUUUAGUGAUAUUUGUAUUUUGACUUGUCUGAGGUAGUGGUAUUUGCACUUGGACUUGUCUCUGGUGUAGUGGUGUUUGUAUUUGGACUUGUCUCUGG
Molecule: long non-coding RNA, 316 nt
Organism: Ictalurus punctatus (channel catfish)
Lineage: Eukaryota; Metazoa; Chordata; Actinopteri; Siluriformes; Ictaluridae
Source: Ensembl